ACCGCGCGAAGGUAGCGUAAUCACUUGUUCUUUAAAUGAGGACUAGUAUGAAUGGCACCACGAGGGUUAUACUGUCUCCUUUUUCCGAUCAAUGAAACUGAUCUGCCCGUGAAGAAGCUGGCAUAAAAAUAUAAGACGAGAAGACCCUAUGGAGCUUUAAACCAUAAUAGCAUUGGCCUGCUAACAACACGACCACAACUCUAAUAUUAAACCGAGCCUUAAUGACUAUUAGUUUUAGGUUGGGGUGACCACGGAGUAAAAAUUAACCUCCACAUUGAAAGGAUGUACGUCCUGAGCUUAGAGUUACACCUCCAGGCACCAAUAAACUGACAUUCAUUGACCCAAUAUUUUGAUCAACGAACCAAGUU
This 368-nucleotide ribosomal RNA is filed under the name Dendropsophus brevifrons (Crump treefrog). RNAcentral's name for it is "partial 16S ribosomal RNA". It matches the Rfam family "Bacterial large subunit ribosomal RNA", at positions 1945 to 2464 of the family's 2925-position model. Lineage: Eukaryota; Metazoa; Chordata; Amphibia; Anura; Hylidae. The record is from RNAcentral.